AUGUAACAAGGUCUCCGUUGGUGAACCAGCGGAGGGAUCAUUG
This 43-nucleotide ribosomal RNA is filed under the name Cytospora pruinosa. RNAcentral describes it as "partial 18S ribosomal RNA". Lineage: Eukaryota; Fungi; Ascomycota; Sordariomycetes; Diaporthales; Cytosporaceae. The record is from RNAcentral.